AUACGGAGGCGGCAAGCGUUGUGCGGAAUCACUGGGCAUAAAGAGCACGUAGGCGGCAAGGCAAGUCGGGUGUGAAAUCCCCCAGCUUAACUGAGGAAUUGCGCCCGAUACUGCCUCGCUAGAGGACAGGAGGGGAGAGUGGAACUCUAGGUGGGGCGGUGAAAUGCGUUGAUAUCUAGAGGAACGCCGGUGGCGAAAGCGACUCUCUGGCCUGUUCCUGACGCUGAGGUGCGAAAGCUAGGGUAGCGAACGGGAUUAGAAACCCUAGUAGUCC
This 274-nucleotide ribosomal RNA is filed under the name uncultured bacterium. RNAcentral describes it as "partial 16S ribosomal RNA". It matches the Rfam family "Bacterial small subunit ribosomal RNA", at positions 523 to 796 of the family's 1533-position model. The record is from RNAcentral.